Non-coding RNA from Triticum aestivum (bread wheat), 115 nucleotides. The record is from Rfam. NCBI's taxonomy places the organism in Eukaryota, Viridiplantae, Streptophyta, Magnoliopsida, Poales, Poaceae.
UACCUACUCCCUCCGUUCGGAAUUAUUUGUAUUGAAAAUGGAUGUAUCUAAAACUAAAAUACGUCUAGAUACAUCGAUUUUCGAGACAAGUAAUUCCGAACGGAGGGAGUAGAAG